RNAcentral lists this ribosomal RNA (478 nucleotides) under uncultured bacterium. RNAcentral describes it as "bacterial SSU rRNA". It matches the Rfam family "Bacterial small subunit ribosomal RNA", at positions 8 to 526 of the family's 1533-position model. The record is from RNAcentral.
AGAGUUUGAUCCUGGCUCAGAACGAACGCUGGCGGCGCGCUUAACACAUGCAAGUCGAGCGGCCACAUUUCGGUGUGGCAGCGGCGGACGGGUGAGUAACGCGUGGGAACCUGCCCUGGAGUCUGGGACAACCGCGGGAAACUGCGGCUAACACCGGAUACGCCCCUGUGAGGGGGGAAAGUUCACGCUCUGGGAUGGGCCCGCGUACGAUUAGCUAGUUGGUGGGGUAACGGCGCACCAAGGCUACGAUCGUUAGCCGGUCUGAGAGGAUGAUCGGCCACACUGGGACUGAGACACGGCCCAGACUCCUACGGGAGGCAGCAGUGGGGAAUCUUGGACAAUGGGGGCAACCCUGAUCCAGCGACGCCGCGUGGGUGAUGAAGGCCUUCGGGUUGUAAAGCCCUUUUUCCGGGGACGAUGAUGACGGUACCCGGGGAAUAAGCACCGGCUAACUCCGUGCCAGCAGCCGCGGUAAUAC